UAGUUCAUAUCACACACAAAAGAAUUCCCCUUAAUUAAAUCUUUAGUUCUCUCCAAUGGCUUCUUCUCGCUUUCUUCUUGCCUCGCUUAUCUUGAUUGUUCUCGCUAGCCAUCUCGCUGACGCGCACAGGGUUCUAGAAGGAUCUCUAGUUGGCGAAACGUCUACUGCCGGAGGAUUAAACUGCGGGGGACUAUGCGCGAUAAGGUGUAGCAAAUCUUCGAGGCCAAACCUCUGCAAGAGAGCUUGCGGGACUUGUUGUGCAAGGUGCAAGUGCGUGCCUAAGGGCACUUAUGGCAAUGAAGAUUCAUGCCCGUGUUAUGCAACGAUGACUACUCGUGGAGGCGAGCACAAGUGCCCGUAGGAUAUUGAAGAAAUAUGUGCGAUUUAAGUUUUCUUGCGAAUGCUUUCUAUUAUGUGAAUGUGUUUGUUUGAUUGUGAAUUGAUUUAUUACAUAAGGCAGCAGGUUUGUGGGUGAAAUUCAUGUUGAAUGUAUCUAUUAGCUUUUUGAAUAAAAUUGAAACUUCUUUGUAUUUCAA
This is a long non-coding RNA of Asparagus officinalis (garden asparagus), 536 nucleotides long. RefSeq lists it as uncharacterized. Lineage: Eukaryota; Viridiplantae; Streptophyta; Magnoliopsida; Asparagales; Asparagaceae. The record is from RefSeq and is a predicted model, not a curated record. The transcript is spliced from 2 exons.